Molecule: ribosomal RNA, 233 nt
Filed under: uncultured bacterium
Lineage: Bacteria
Description: partial 16S ribosomal RNA
Rfam family: Bacterial small subunit ribosomal RNA
Source: RNAcentral
CGGGACGGGUGAGUAAUGUCUGGGAAACUGCCUGAUGGAGGGGGAUAACUACUGGAAACGGUAGCUAAUACUGCAUAACGUCGCAAGACCAAAGAGGGGGACCUUCGGGCCUCUUGCCAUCGGAUGUGCCCAGAUGGGAUUAGCUAGUAGGUGGGGUAAAGGCUCACCUAGGCGACGAUCCCUAGCUGGUCUGAGAGGAUGACCAGCCACACUGGAACUGAGACACGGUCCAG